UGGCUCAGGAUGAACGCUGGCGGCGUGCUUAACACAUGCAAGUCGAACGAAGAAGGUUACAAUGAUAGCUUCGGCAGGAUUUCUUUCCAUCUUAGUGGCGGACGGGUGAGUAACGUGUGGGCAACCUGCCCUGUACUGGGGAAUAAUCAUUGGAAACGAUGACUAAUACCGCAUGUGGUCCUCGGAAGGCAUCUUCUGAGGAAGAAAGGAUUUAUUCGGUACAGGAUGGGCCCGCAUCUGAUUAGCUAGUUGGUGAGAUAACAGCCCACCAAGGCGACGAUCAAUAGCCGACCUGAGAGGGUGAUCGGCCACAUUGGGACUGAGACACGGCCCAAACUCCUACGGGAGGCAGCGGUGGGGAAUAUUGCACAAUGGGCGAAAGCCUGAUGCAGCAACAGCCACGUGAAGGAUGAAGGGUUUCGGCUCGUAAACUUCUAUCAAUAGGGAAGAAACAAAUGACGGUACCUAAAUAAGAAGCCCCGGCUAACUACGUGCCAUCAGCCGCGGUAAUACGUAGGGGGCAAGCGUUAUCCGGAAUUACUGGGUGUAAAGGGAGCGUAGGCGGCAUGGUAAGCCAGAUGUGAAAGCCUUGGGCUUAACCCGAGGAUUGCAUUUGGAACUAUCAAGCUAGAGUACAGGAGAGGAAAGCGGAAUUCCUAGUGUAGCGGUGAAAUGCGUAGAUAUUAAGAAGAACACCAGUGGCGAAGGCGGCUUUCUGGACUGAAACUGACGCUGACGCUCGAAAGCGUGGGGAGCAAACAGGAUUAGAUACCCUGGUAGUCCACGCCGUAAACGAUGAGUGCUAGGUGUCGGGGAGGAAUCCUCGGUGCCGCAGCUAACGCAAUAAGCACUCCACCUGGGGAGUACGACCGCAAGGUUGAAACUCAAAGGAAUUGACGGGGGCCCGCACAAGCGGUGGAGCAUGUGGUUUAAUUCGAAGCAACGCGAAGAACCUUACCAAGGCUUGACAUCCCGAUGACCGUCCUAGAGAUAGGACUUCUCUUCGGAGCAUCGGUGACAGGUGGUGCAUGGUUGUCGUCAGCUCGUGUCGUGAGAUGUUGGGUUAAGUCCCGCAACGAGCGCAACCCUUAUCUUCAGUAGCCAUCAUUCAGUUGGGCACUCUGGAGAGACUGCCGUGGAUAACACGGAGGAAGGUGGGGAUGACGUCAAAUCAUCAUGCCCCUUAUGUCUUGGGCUACACACGUGCUACAAUGGCUGGUAACAAAGUGACGCAAGACGGCGACGUUAAGCAAAUCACAAAAACCCAGUCCCAGUUCGGAUUGUAGUCUGCAACUCGACUACAUGAAGCUGGAAUCGCUAGUAAUCGCGAAUCAGCAUGUCGCGGUGAAUACGUUCCCGGGCCUUGUACACACCGCCCGUCACACCAUGGGAGUUGGAAGCACCCGAAGUCGGUGACCUAACCGUAAGGAAGGAGCCGCCGAAGGUGAAGCCAGUGAC
Molecule: ribosomal RNA, 1458 nt
Filed under: uncultured organism
Description: SSU rRNA
Rfam family: Bacterial small subunit ribosomal RNA
Source: RNAcentral